Bombyx mori (domestic silkworm) is the source of this 778-nucleotide long non-coding RNA. RefSeq lists it as uncharacterized. The record is from RefSeq and is a predicted model, not a curated record. The transcript has 2 exons. NCBI's taxonomy places the organism in Eukaryota, Metazoa, Arthropoda, Insecta, Lepidoptera, Bombycidae.
GGACAAUAGACGAAAACAAUAUCUCUAUUUCGAAAAGAAAAUUGAAAUAGCUGACAAAACACAGACUAUAGAAGAAUGUCAAAUUUGUGUAAAUAAAGAUGGAAAAUACAGCAUAUACUACUCGAAAUAAAUGAGUAUACUGAAUAUUAGACAUACACAAAUCAAAACAAUAUAUCGAUUUCGAAAAGAAAAAUGAAAUAACUGACAAAACACAGACUGAAGAAGAAUGUCAAAUUGUGUAAAUAAAGACGGAAAAUACAGUGUAUACUCGAAGUAAAUGAGUAUACUGAAUAUUAGACAUACAUAAAUCCGAAUCAAACAUUAGCUGAUUCGUAAGUAACCGGGGGAUACCGACCAUUUUCCGUGCAAUUAGCAUUCGUGGAGUGCAAGUGAUGUUUGCGUUGGAUGUGGCGCCGAAUUAAUAUUCGUAGCGUUCCGGGAGGAGUGUCACGGGCAGGAUGGACGCUGUUCACGCAUGCCUUGACUUCAGCCAGAAUAAACGUCAUAGCCAGACAAGAACGAACUCGAAAGAGGGUUUCGACGUGUGUGUAAUGACGUCACAUUACUAAUUCAAUACGCAGCGAAGAUGUGAAAAUUUCCUAUGAUCCAAACAAAGGAGUGAAAAUUUAAUGAGUACUUUAAAUGAAAUUCACUGAAAUAUUCCUGUUGUUCGUUGGUUUGUGAAUUUUUUAAUUACUCUAUGAAUUUCGUUGUGCAUUUGUUCGGCACAACGUCGAUCUUGAUAAACAAAAAGUAUGUAUAAAAGAAGCAAAGUAAA